Ixodes scapularis (black-legged tick) is the source of this 781-nucleotide long non-coding RNA. RefSeq lists it as uncharacterized. The transcript has 3 exons. Lineage: Eukaryota; Metazoa; Arthropoda; Arachnida; Ixodida; Ixodidae. The record is from RefSeq and is a predicted model, not a curated record.
GCAGCCUGUACCGCGAGCCACGCGCUCCACUGUUCGCAUUUCAUUUUUCCCCGAUAGUACAUCCCAUUCCGAAUUUCAAGACAUGCUAGAAUGGCAACACUUCGCCAAGCCUACCGGGGACUCGGAAAAUGGUGCCAGUUGACUCUUCGACGAAAAUCAUCGGUCCAUCAUCGUGCCUUCCCUCUGCAGCGUCUACAGCGCAACGACACUCCGUUCCGCAAAGCACCGUGGAUAGUGACGGCUUCACCACCCGCCGCAAGCCCUUGGCCUUUUGUAGGUGGCGGUACCUGCACAGGUCUUUGGCGAAUGCGGCGACGGCACACGGCCGAGAUAGUAACAAUGCCACUGAAAUUACUCCGCUACUCUUUUAAGCCUCAUUGUGGGUCAAGCUUGAGCGCACUCUUUGAAUCGGGAGAAAAAUGCGAACACUAGUUGUAUGUCUCAAAAAAUAAUUAACGUUUCACAAAUUCUUUCGUUCGGUUUGGCCUCUUAUACUAAUUGCCAUCAUCACUGCAAUUACAAAAUGGCCCAUAAAAGCAACACUCAAAAAUGUUGAUCAACGUAUUAUAGUUAAUUUGCGUUCCGAUCAUGAUCCUUUCCUUCGCCCAUAAUGUCCGCAAUGAAGGCGGCGUCUACAUACAUGUAACCCUUUUUUUUUUUUUGUAAAAUGAAUUGUUUUCAUUAUAAACCAAAAGCACCCUGCAUAUCUGCCGGGUGCGUUAAUCUAAAGACCUUUCGUUUUGCAUGUCUAUCGGAUCCGUCAACACCGCGAAUAUGUUUC